CCCCUUGAUUCUUUUCCGUGCUGCAGACUACCCCUCCCCCUCCCUCCACCUCUUACAGCUUGCACCACACACCUGACCUCAUUAGCACGGUCAUACCAUAGAUCCCUCUCUGUUGCACAAUGGUGGCGGGGCAAUCCGGAUCAACACAAGGGUGCUCGCCGAGCCUCUCCACGUCGCUGCAGGAAGCUUUCCUGCGCUACGAUCCCAAAGAAUGUCGGCGCAGCGCCAAUGGACCAGCAGUAGAGGAAGUACGCCCGAUGCUGGCGAACCGAUACUUCAACAUGGACCACCUCGCCCUGUGGAAGCCGUCGUUGCUCACGUCUCUAGGCGAAACAUGCCGUCGCGCUGUUUACGUAAACGAGUAUCAUGCGCUUCUGUGCAGUCGGCGACUGGUUCUGGUGAAUAGCAAAGGCCGGUACAUCGUCUUCCCCCCCUUUUGCGACACUCUGAACGACGCCUACGUGGAGAGGGUAUCCAAGACGUGCACGCUAGUGCUUGCAGCCGUUGCAUCUGGCGUUCACGUGGCCCUUGUUCAGGACUCUGACAUCCGGAAAGCUGAUACCCUCAAGAGCGUCUUUUGCCCUACCGCGUCUGCCGUCGCCUGCAUUCACCACGUUGGAAAGAACUUCUACGGCUUGUGCUGUGAGAACUGCAGCGUGGAGGGGUUGGCAAUCACGCUCGACAACGCUCACUCUCUGCACCCUGAGCUGCAUGCGAAGGUGCUGCCCAGCCGACACGGCUGGGUCCAGGCAGCUUGCGACUACCUGUCCCCGAAGAGGUACGUGCACAGCCUCUUCGACCGGCACAGGGGGUAUCUCCUAAUGCUCUCCAGCCGGAAUGUGUCGCUGUGGAUGUACAGCGACGUAACUCAUUUGCAGCUCGAGUGCUCCGCCGCGCUUCCCCGGGAGGCGGUUGUAGCGAUUGUGCCCCCGUUGCAGGAUGAGUAUGGAGAGGCGCAGGUGGCUGUCCUCAUCACCAGCAGCGGCGGCCGUGUGCCGGUGCAUUUGUGCACCACGGCAGGCAAGCGCGGAAACUCGUGGUCGCUCUCCGUGGGUGAGCUGCGCGGUCUCCCUAGUGGGGUGACAAACACGGUGGUCUCACUGGCAUGCGCGUGCGGUUCGUCGCUGCUUUUGGCGGAUCAGCUAACCUCUUCUCUGCUUCUCGUGACCCGCUGCGAGCCGUUUUGCGAAGCCCCUGACAGUUCCACGACGCACGUUGUCACACAGCACUUCUUAGGCAAGCCUAUCUGCGGCGUCGGUGUCGAGAAGAGCGUGCGCGAUGGCGGCAGCUUUCUCACCUUUGUCGUGUACUGUGGGGACUCGACGAUUGUGCGUCUGGGCCGCAUGCCCCGUGGUCAACUCCUGCAGCGACAAUUCGCGGCCUCCGUAACGAGUGGCAUUGAUGCACUCAGCAAGCUCGAGCCGCAGGCGCAGGUGGUCCUUCUCCUUGACGCGGUACUAAGCGGCCUCCCGAUCUCGUACCUGUCACAGUCCCUCGAACCCCUUCUCCACCCGUGGGCGGCGACAGUGUGCGGAGUGCGCCUGUCAGAUGGCGCUCGUGGCAUCAUCCAUCAUGCAAUGCGGGGCUUGAGUGAGCUGUCGCGUUUGUGCUUGUCGUUUCACUACUGGCGACUGACGGAGGAGCUGGCGCAGUCGAGGUCUCGGUUGGAGAAGAGUUGUACCAUUCUUGCCGAGGUGCUGAACCGUGGCGGCUGGCUGGACUGCCCUACGCGGCAGAGACUGGAGUGGGACGAUGACGUUUUGGUGCGCGCAGACGGCAAGCUGACGGACAUCAGCGCUGUGGACGCCCAGGCAGAGGUUCUGCAGCUGCUGCUGUCAUCUGUGAAGCACGCGACAACGAUCGCGUGGCUUUACGACUUGGUCCUGCAGACCGGCACCACCUAUCGAUUUCCUGGCCGACUGGAGGACCUACUAUGGAAGAGCGACCCGGUAGCAGUGCAAGUGUCGCUGUGCAUGGAUCUACUGGCAAAGCACGACAAGGACAUCACGGACAAUCUCCUGCAGAAGGAGCACGUACUGCCGCAGCGCUGCCGCCUCGCCGCAACCCUCCUGUCACUGGUGUUGGACAGGGCGUUCGAGCCUGUCAUGGCAUACACAAGACGGCACAUCCUCGACAUUGUGCAGUAUGAUCUUCUCUCAUACACGACGGACCUCCUCGAGUCAAGCUUUCCUACCUCGCAGCCUCGCAUUCGCCUCCUGGUGUACCGCUACCCGCACGAUCACAGCGUCUCAUCCGACAUGCUGUCGAUGGUCGAAGCCAUUUCUUCAACCGGCGAUCUCUACAACACACUGGUGACCAUUCUUGGCGACGCGGCGUGCGACAGCGAGCUGAGCUCGGUCCUGCUCGAUUGGAUGGAGUGCCACACCCUCGCUGACCAUCGGAUUUUGACGUUCGCGAAGGUUGUCGUGGACAUGGGACUCUGCGUCGACCCGGCGCACACCUUAACAGGGCGUUUUUUUUCGUCGGUGAAGCAGCAGGCGAACGGAAACGCGCAGCAGGCGGCGCUGCGUUUUGCCGAGCUGGCGCGCAGCAACCUGUCUGUACCCCUCGACGGACGGCUUCUCGCUAUCGAGCACGCCAUCACUGCCGUGCCGUCGGACGACAAUCGACUGAUUCAGUUCCUGUUGCUGCUGCAGCAGCAGCUGGCCAGCCUGAUCGCUGAGCACCUGGCCGUCGGCAAGGAUCUCGUUUUCGCGCGCGGCACCGUGGAGGCGGAUCUGCGGGCGCUGCGGGAGCACUACGUCAAUGAGAACUCUCUCUUCGAACUGGCUGGACGCUACAAAGUGCUGGGCGGGUGCAGCAUCCAGCUCGACUUGCUGAAGAUCCACUCAGACUCUCCCGAGCUGCUGAUUGCCAAUGCGCUGACCGGUGUGCUGACGUUCCUCAAGGCUGUGGGGCUGUCUGCGCCACAGGCGGUGCAGCGUGUUCUGCGGGAGUACCUUGGCACCUUUCAGGCCCCAUUGCCCCUCUUCCCGUUUGUUGAGUUUCUUGCCUUUGAUGGCCAAUCCCCAGCCCUGGCCGUUGACGAGCUGGAGAAGGUCGGCGUGCCGCUGCCCACCAUUUUUGAUACCUUCAUGAGCUUGCUGGACGGCCACCGCAAUCCGCUUUUUCAGAUUGGUGACACGGUGCUGGCUCUGGGGCAGCUGGUGCCCAAGAUCAGCCCUGCUGUUCAGCACAUCUGCGCAGCACACUUACUAGAGUGCAGCCGGAGCAUGCUUGCAGGAGAGCAGCGCGCCAUUGCGUUGACAGAGGAGGAUGUGCACAUCAUCAAGCAAAUCGGGGACGACAUGCGGAAGCUGUCGCAGCGGAGCCAGACAGCAUUCUGACAGCAUACACGCCUCCAAUCCCACUCCAAAAUUCCUUCUUGAUGGCUGCUUCCGCUCGUCAGUUCUCUCUCGUUUUCGUGGGGUUUGCCCAUUGCAAGGAGACGCACCACCUUCACGGGAGGUGGCCACUCCUCAUUGCUCCCCCAUUUCAGUGUUGUCUAAUCCCCGCUACCUGCCAGAGGCCCAGGGAAUCUAAGACACAAUGAAAAGAAGCAGAAUCGCAGCUGCGCCUUUCCCCGACCGCCGUUGAAGAACAACGGCGAAGCGCCUCUGCCAGUCUACCUCCCCUUCCACAGAAGCACAACUGUUUUUGGCAAAACAGUGUCGCCUCUUUCUCGUUUACAUGUGGGCUUCUCGUGCAGAGGAGCCACUUUUGCGGAAGGAGGUUAGAUGCCUGUUAUCAUGGUACACAGGUUGGGUUUGUGUGAGUGUGUCGCAGAGACCUUCUUACUCAACACACUCUAUCCCUUCCCUUUUGUCUCUUGUGCCUCCAUUUUGAGUAUCUUUCUUCCUUCACUCCGCGCUCACUCAUGCCACAACCUGCCACCGCUUCUUCCUCACUCGCUGAAACCCUCUUUCUCUUACCUGCCUCAACGUAUGCCGUCACGUAUCCGCAG
RNAcentral lists this unclassified non-coding RNA (3964 nucleotides) under Leishmania donovani. RNAcentral describes it as "gene:LdHU3.36.5210(CDS-product:hypothetical_prote in_conserved)". The record is from RNAcentral. Lineage: Eukaryota; Euglenozoa; Kinetoplastea; Trypanosomatida; Trypanosomatidae.